RNAcentral lists this unclassified non-coding RNA (232 nucleotides) under Hevea brasiliensis (rubber tree). Lineage: Eukaryota; Viridiplantae; Streptophyta; Magnoliopsida; Malpighiales; Euphorbiaceae. The record is from RNAcentral.
GAUGUAAACUUAAACUAUUCAUGGAAAGAAAAUCACUAAAAUAUAAAGAGAUCAAUCGGGGCAUUACUUUAAUUGGUUGAUGUGUUAAUUUCUCUUUGAAUAUUUGUCUAAAAAAAUACUUAGGGAUACAUGCCUGUUACGGAUUUCAAAUUACUAAAGAGUACAAAGGGGUAAUUUGCCAUCAAGAGAUUUUCUAAACGACUACACCUGUAAUUGUUUUUUGUGACUCUGC